Molecule: ribosomal RNA, 486 nt
Filed under: uncultured bacterium
Lineage: Bacteria
Description: bacterial SSU rRNA
Rfam family: Bacterial small subunit ribosomal RNA
Source: RNAcentral
GACAAACGCUGGCGGCGUGCUUAAGCUUAUGCAAGUCGAACGAUUAAAGCUCCCUUCGGGGAGUGUAUAAAGUGGCGAACGGGUGAGUAACACGUGGGUAACCUACCCUCUGGUGGGGAAUAACACCUCGAAAGGGGUGCUAAUACCGCAUAAGUCCUUCAGUGGGCAUCCACUGCGGGAGAAAGGUUUCGGUCGCCGGAGGAUGGGCCCGCGCGCUAUUAGCUAGUUGGUGGGGUAACGGCCUACCAAGGCUGCGAUGGCUAGCCGGCCUGAGAGGGUGUCCGGCCACACUGGGACUGAGACAAGGCCCAGUCCCCUACGGGAGGCGCAGGCGGGAAUUGUUCCCAAUGGGCGCAAGCCUGAGGACGCGACGCCGCGUGAGGGAUGAAGGCUUUCGGGUUGUAAACCUCUGUCGUCAGGGAAGAACGGGUGAGGUACUCCCUUACUCUGACGGUACCUGACAAGAAAGCCUCGGCUAACUACGUG